Molecule: ribosomal RNA, 496 nt
Filed under: uncultured bacterium
Lineage: Bacteria
Description: partial 16S ribosomal RNA
Rfam family: Bacterial small subunit ribosomal RNA
Source: RNAcentral
AUGAACGCUGGCGGCGUGCCUAAUACCUGCAAGUCGAGCGAACAGACGAGGAGCUUGCUCCUCUGACGUUAGCGGCGGACGGGUGAGUAACACGUGGAUAACCUACCUAUAAGACUGGGAUAACUUCGGGAAACCCGAGCUAAUACCGGAUAAUAUAUUGAACCGCAUGGUUCAAUAGUGAAAGACGGUUUUGCUGUCACUUAUAGAUGGAUCCGCGCCGCAUUAGCUAGUUGGUAAGGUAACGGCUUACCAAGGCAACGAUGCGUAGCCGACCUGAGAGGGUGAUCGGCCACACUGGAACUGAAACACGGUCCAGACUCCUACGGGAGGCAGCAGUAGGGAAUCUUCCGCAAUGGGCGAAAGCCUGACGGAGCAACGCCGCGUGAGUGAUGAAGGUCUUCGGAUCGUAAAACUCUGUUAUUAGGGAAGAACAAAUGUGUAAGUAACUAUGCACGUCUUGACGGUACCUAAUCAGAAAGCCACGGCUAACUACGUG